Molecule: ribosomal RNA, 422 nt
Filed under: uncultured archaeon
Lineage: Archaea
Description: partial 16S ribosomal RNA
Rfam family: Archaeal small subunit ribosomal RNA
Source: RNAcentral
CUACGGGUUGCACCAGGCGCGAAACCUCUACAAUGCACGCAAGUGUGAUAGGGGAAUCCCAAGUGCUCAUGUAACUCAUGGGCUUUUGUCAAGAGUAAAUAUCUUGGCGAAUAAGUGGUGGGUAAGACUGGUGCCAGCAGCCGCGGUAACACCAGCGCCACGAGUGGCAACCACAUUUAUUGGGCCUAAAGCGUCCGUAGCCGGCCUGCUAAAUCCUUUGUGAAAUCAUACAGCUUAACUGUAUGGCUUGCAAGAGAGACUGGCAGACUAGGAACCGGGAGGAGUCAGAGGUAUUUCGGGGGGAGCGGUAAAAUGUGAUAAUCCCCGGAGGACCACCUGUGGCGAAGGCGUCUGACUAGAACGGAUUCGACGGUGAGGGACGAAAGCCAGGGGAGCGAACCGGAUUAGAUACCCGGGUAGUC